GAUUAACGCUGGCGUCGUGCCCAACACAUGCAAGUCGAGCGGCAGCGAGUUUUACACUGAAUUCUGGAAGCUUCUGGUUUGAAGAGAAGAUUUAUUCAAGAAUUUUGUGUAAAAUGUCGGCGAGCGGCGGACGGCUGAGUAACGCGUGGGAACGUACCCCAAAGUGAGGGAUAACGCAUCGAAAGGUGUGCUAAUACCGCAUAUGGUCUUCGGAUUAAAGCCUUCGGGCGCUUUGGGAACGGCCUGCGUAAGAUUAGAUAGUUGGUGGGGUAAUGGCCUACCAAGUCGACGAUCUUUAACUGGUUUGAGAGGAUGAUCAGUCAGACUGGAACUGAGACACGGUCCAGACUCCUACGGGAGGCAGCAGUGAGGAAUCUUCCACAAUGGGCGAAAGCCUGAUGGAGCAACGCCGCGUGCAGGAUGAAGGCCUUCGGGUUGUAAACUGCUUUUAUAAGUGAGGAUUAUGACAGUAACUUAUGAAUAAGGAUCGGCUAACUACGUGCCAGCAGCCGCGGUCAUACGUAGGAUCCGAGCGUUAUCCGGAGUGACUGGGCGUAAAGAGUUGCGUAGGUGGUUCGAUAAGCGAAUAGUGAAAUCUGGUGGCUCAACCAUUCAGACUAUUAUUCGAACUGUUGAACUCGAGAGCAGAAGAGGUAGCUGGAAUUUCUAGUGUAGGAGUGAAAUCCGUAGAUAUUAGAAGGAACACCGAUGGCGUAGGCAGGCUACUGGGCUGUUUCUGACACUGAGGCACGAAAGCGUGGGGAGCGAACCGGAUUAGAUACCCGGGUAGUCCACGCCGUAAACGAUGGAUACUAGCUGUUUGGGGUAUCGACCCCCUGAGUAGCGAAGCUAACGCGUUAAGUAUCCCGCCUGUGGAGUACGAUCGCAAGAUUAAAACAUAAAGGAAUUGACGGGGACCCGCACAAGCGGUGGAUCAUGUUCUUUAAUUCGAUGAUAACCGAUAAACCUUACCAGGUCUUGACAUCCUUGGAAUCUUUCAGAAAUGAGAGAGUGCUUUUUAAGAGCCAAGUGACAGGUGAUGCAUGGCCGUCGUCAGCUCGUGUCGUGAGAUGUUUGGUUAAGUCCAUCAACGGGCGCAACCCUUGUCAGUAGUUGUAUUUUUCUACUGAGACUGCCCCGGCAUCGGGGAGGAAGGAGGGGAUGACGUCAGGUCAGUAUUUCCCUUACGUCCUGGGCUAGAAACGUGAUACAAUGGCUAGUACAAUGCGCAGCGAAGCCGCGAGGUGAAGCAAAUCGCAUCAAAGCUAGUCCCAGUUCGGAUUGUAGGCUGAAACUCGCCUGCAUGAAGUCGGAAUCGCUAGUAAUCGCAGAUCAGCAUGCUGCGGUGAAUACGUUCCCGGGUCU
RNAcentral lists this ribosomal RNA (1365 nucleotides) under uncultured bacterium. RNAcentral's name for it is "bacterial SSU rRNA". It matches the Rfam family "Bacterial small subunit ribosomal RNA", at positions 28 to 1381 of the family's 1533-position model. The record is from RNAcentral.